This 2490-nucleotide long non-coding RNA is filed under the name Sus scrofa (pig). RNAcentral describes it as "lncRNA (ENSSSCG00060036079.1)". Lineage: Eukaryota; Metazoa; Chordata; Mammalia; Artiodactyla; Suidae. The record is from RNAcentral.
CAGCAGGAUCUCCUUGUAAAUCUAUUCUAGGUUGUGUCUGAUAAGACCAAGCUCCCGAUCCCUCCCACUCCCUCCACCUCCCAACAUGCAACCACAAGUCUCUUCUCCAAGUCCAUGAUUUACUUUUCUGAGGAGAUGUUCAUUUGUGCUUGAUAUUAGAUUCCAGUUAUGUGAUAUCAUAUGGUAUUUGUCUUUGUCUUUCUGGCUCAUUUCACUCAGUAUGAGAUUCUCUAGUUCCAUCCAUGUUGCUGCAAAUGGCAUUAUGUCAUCGUUUUUUAUGGCUUAGUAGUAUUCUAUUGUGUAUUUAUACCACAUCUUCCGAAUCCAAUCAUCUGUCGAUGGACAUUUGGAUUGUUUCCAUGUCCUAGCGAGACCAUACAUUCUAUUGCACAUUUUACUUUUCCAAAUCCCUCUUUCAACUUAGUAAAAUGGGUCCUAACUAAUAGUAACUAACAAGUGACUAUAAUUUAUUUUGUAUGAAGAUGGGUGACAAAUAUUCAUUCUUAUAAAAUACAACCAGGGCUAACCAUCGUAGGGUAAAAGUGAGUUAGUCUUUGGGUGAAAUGCUUAGGAUAAAGUCUUUAGUGAUUAAGCAUCAAAAACAACAGCACUCUUGAAGUUCCCACUGUGGUUCAGUGGGUUAAGAACCCAACGUGGUGUCUGUGAGGAAGCAGGUUUGAUCGCUGGCCUUGUUCAGUGGGUUAAGUAUCCCAUAUUGCCACAAGCUGCAGUGUAGGUGGCAGAUGUUGCUCAGAUCUGGCAUUGCUUUGUGUAGUCCUCAGGGGCAGCUCCAAUUCGACCUCGAGCCUAGGAACUUCCAUAUGCCACAGGUGUGGCUAUAAAAAGAAAAAGAAAACAACGACAACACUCUAGUGGAUAUCACCCUGUCCAUCACUGGUAACUGCAUCAUUUCAGAAACAGUGAAUGAAACUUGAAAAACAGAGUGACACAAACUGUGAAAUAAGCCAGAGUGUUACUACAGCAUCGGUUCUCACAAAGAUUUGUCUAGAGCUGCUGCAUAUGUCUUACUUGGACAUCUAAUAAGGCUCAGCCAGCAUGAUGUCACCAGUGCACUGGGCCAACCAGCCCUUCUGUGGGGUGGAAAGGUGAGCAAAGAAAAUGAAAAUGUAUUCCACUGUCUUCCAGCUCCCUUUAUUUCCAUCAAGAAAUCUGCUGUCAUAUCCUUUGUUGGUUAUUUUAGUUUUCACUUUCAUUCAGUUUUAAGUACUUUUCUUAAUCUUAUUCUACAGCUGUUAAUACAAUGUUUCUUGGCAGAUUUUUGGGUCAAUGUACUUAGGAUACAUUAUAGUUUCUGACCCCUAGUGAUGCUAUGGACAUUUGGCUUGGAACAGCUCAAUCUCUCCAAUUUCUUUUGUGUUCACUGUUUCAAGGUCUGGAUUUAGCUCAUUUUUUUUUUUUUCAGGGAGAAAGUAAAUCUUCAGAUAUUUUAUUUUAUGAGAAUCCACAAUGCAAUUAAACAUUUAUUAUAUACAGUAUCUAGUUAUAUUUUAGUGGGAGCCCUUCAAAAUGCUGCCCAUUGAAAAUAUUCAGCCCAGAAUAUUUACCAUAAAUUCCAUGUCUGAAAUAACUAUAUUGUUAACAUACUGGAAUGAUAUAAAAUAAUUUUAAAGAUUAUCAAAACACCUGGCAUUUUAAAAAUAGAAACUCUCUAGUUAUGUUUAAAACAUUAGAGUUUAUAGAGAUUAAAAGUGUUUUCUUCCUUUAAUCACUAUUCUGGAAUCUCAGUCUGAGCUGUUCUACUCUGCUCCUUAAUGCUGAGAACAUUCUGAAGGAUUUACUUUUGUUUAAUAUUUAUAUAUUCUAGAUUUCAUGUUCUUUUCCUGAAGGCAAUGUAUAUAUUCAUAGUGAAUUAUUUAGCAUCAAUCAUGGGCAACCUUGAUGCUGCUUCUUUUAAUCUUUCUGACUAAGAAAUGAUGUUCUCAUAGGUAUGCAAUGAAACAUGGUUUUGAGAGUCUUUUAAAAAAAACCAUAUAUUAAAACCUUUUGAGAAUCUAAGCAAAACGGUUUGUUUCCCACCAUUAACAUUAAUGUAAUGCAAUCUUUAUUUCUGGAAUAGCCAAUAUUCACAGUAAUAGAAGUUUUAGAAAAGACUCACUCUUCAAUUCUCUUUGCCAAUUUACUCAAACAUUAUCAAAAAGAUUGUGUAUUGUAGUUUUCUUCUUGAGAGAAAUAUAGACAAUAAUCUCUUUGAAAAGAGGGGGAGUCAGAAUACCUGUUGUGGUAACGAACCCAACUAGUAUCCAUGAGGACUCAGGUUUGAUCCCUAGCCUUGCCCAGUGGGUUAAGGAUCCGGCAUUGCCGUGAACUGUGGUGUAGGUCGCAAACAGGGCUCAGAUCCCGCAUUGCUGUGGCUGUGGUGUAGGCCAGCAGCUGCAGCUCUGAUUGGACACCUAGCCUGGGAACUUCCAUAUGUCAUGCAUGUGGCCCUGAAAAGCGAAAGUAAAUAAAUAAAUAAAUAAAUGGGACUCA